GCCGGCGGUGUGCGGGGCCGGGGCCGGGGCCGGGCCGGGGCCGGGG
This 46-nucleotide microRNA precursor is filed under the name Erinaceus europaeus (western European hedgehog). RNAcentral's name for it is "miRNA (ENSEEUG00000022506.1)". Lineage: Eukaryota; Metazoa; Chordata; Mammalia; Eulipotyphla; Erinaceidae. The record is from RNAcentral.